Molecule: ribosomal RNA, 453 nt
Filed under: uncultured Porphyromonadaceae bacterium
Lineage: Bacteria; Pseudomonadati; Bacteroidota; Bacteroidia; Bacteroidales; Porphyromonadaceae
Description: partial 16S ribosomal RNA
Rfam family: Bacterial small subunit ribosomal RNA
Source: RNAcentral
ACGGGAGGCAGCAGUGAGGAAUAUUGGUCAAUGGAGGCAACUCUGAACCAGCCAAGUCGCGUGAAGGAAGAAGGCCCUACGGGUCGUAAACUUCUUUUGCAGGGGGAUAAAGUCGGCCACGCGUGGCCGUUUGCAGGUACCCUGUGAAUAAGCAUCGGCUAACUCCGUGCCAGCAGCCGCGGUAAUACGGAGGAUGCGAGCGUUAUCCGGAUUUAUUGGGUUUAAAGGGUGCGCAGGCGGGCUGUUAAGUCAGUGGUUAAAUCGUGACGCUCAACGUCAUCACGCCAUUGAUACUGGAGAGCUUGAUUGCGGUCGAGGUUUGCGGAAUUCGUUGUGUAGCGGUGAAAUGCAUAGAUAUGACGAAGAACACCGAUUGCGUAGGCAGCAGACCAGGCCGUAAAUGACGCUCAUGCACGAAAGUGCGGGGAUCGAACAGGAUUAGAUACCCUGGUA